RNAcentral lists this long non-coding RNA (3357 nucleotides) under Homarus americanus (American lobster). RNAcentral describes it as "uncharacterized LOC121872083". Lineage: Eukaryota; Metazoa; Arthropoda; Malacostraca; Decapoda; Nephropidae. The record is from RNAcentral.
GGCUCUGUCGUCACCAGUACUCUAGGGCUCUGUCGUCACCAGUACUCUAGGGCUCUGUCGUCACCAGUACUCUAGGGCUCUGUCGUCACCAGUACUCUAGGGCUCUGUCGUCACCAGUACUCUAGGGCUCUGUCGUCACCAGUACUCUAGGGCUCUGUCGUCACCUGUACUCAAGGCUCUAACUCAGUACUGGCAUGUAUUUUCACUUUUAAGAAUACUAUUGAUUGAUCUUUAGUUGAUGUAAUGUUUAUUCAGAGUUAAUGUGCCUUAAUUAUUUUAGUUUGUACGAAUAAAAGGAUUGAAAUUAUUUGUAUUAUCUUAAGGGGAAUUAAUUAAAAGACGACCGAGGUGAUGAUUCGUUGAGGUUCGUCGAUGAUUCAUUGAGGUUCGUCGAUGAUUCGUUGAGGUUUGUCGAUGAUUCGUUGAGGUUCGUUGAUGAUUCGUUGAUGAUUCGUCGAUAAUUCGAUGAGGUUCGUUGAUGGGAGAGAUUUUGACAUGUAAAAUUGUUGAUCUCUUGUGGUUUUCAAUUGUGAAUAAAUUCUAUUUUAAAAGAGUCGUUCAUUGAGAGGAAUUUAAAUAUAUAUUACUUUCUGUUUUGUUGAGUUUCCAAAGAGAAGCUAUUGUACAGAGAUAAGACCAAUGGGUGAAAUAUAAGGAAAGUGUGAAAGCUUGGUGAUUUGUGAGUGUAAUGAGGAAGAGGCAAUGCUUUUUGUAGGUCGUCCAUUGUUAGUAGUCAUUACCUCUCACAGUAAACGACUUCAACUCUCCUCUCAUUAUCAUUUAUUGUCAUUGUUACAGCUAUUUCUUUUCUUUUAAUUUUGUUGCGUUUCCACGUUUUUCAUUUUAGGUUUAAUGAAAGGUCUUCUAUUGAUUUAUUUAUUUAUUUUGUUUUAAUCUCCUGUAAUAUUCAGCUCUAUAUUGACCAAAGUUUGAGGGUGUCUGUGUUGUGGUAUACAGGGUGUGUCAUAAAUUAUCUGAUCCACUUAAGAAUCUCUGGAACGCGGUGGAAUGCUCCCAGGACGAGAAAAUAUCAUAUGUUUUUCGUCAAGUCUAAUAAACCCUAUAUGUUUUUGUCUAACCGUGAAACCUCUAUUUUACGAACUAUAGUAAGUCCAUUAUAUCGAGGGUCCGUUAGAUGUGAAACCUCCAUCUAAUGAACUAUGCAGUAUAGAGAGGAAAUUCCAUUAUGUGGAGGUUUCACUAAAUAAUAUCAUCAGGUUUAUUAAUGGGUCACGUAAUUUACUGACUGCCCUAAUACAUCUCCCACACUCAAAUAGCGAAAGAAAAUUCUCCUUGACUCGCUUCCCAGACACCUGAUGUGACUCACCAAGUUGGCAGCCAUAAUCAAACACUGUAUUCCAUAAUGAAGCAUUUUUGUCUCUGUACCAUUACUGUUUUUUUUUUUUAUCGAUUACACGACAGUUACGGGAUAUUCAAUUGGGGACACAGUAGCCUGGGGUUAUGUCGUGAUUGGCCGGUGUGUCUCGGUCCUUUAAGGGUCGACACUAGGACUUACAAAUAGUUUACAGGAACGAAAUAUUGAUAAUCUCAGGUGAUUUGGGUAUUUAUUUUGUCGUCGUUAUCGGCCCCAACUCUCGAGAAAUGACCCGGGGCUACUGUGACCGUAAACUGCCGUGGUAAAUUCUGUAAUGUCCGGGUUUUGCUUUAUUGUAGUUCGCGACUGACUGUAGUUUAUGCUGGAGUAUUGAGUAAAAUGUUGUCAGUAGGUAAAUAAUUUUUCUUCAUCAUAAGGAACAUUUUUUAAUAUGUGGGGGAAAGUGUUGAUUGUCUGCUUAUACUGUACUGGGCCCAUAGAUUACUGUAUCUGACUUAUUUUAAAACUUAUUAACCUAACCUCAAACAACCCAACUCGACCUCAAACAACAGUACACAUGUGGAAGCCAUAAAAAAUGAGAAAAAAUAAAAAUUUAAAAUUGUUCGUCAAGUUUAAAUACCACGGUCAUUAGAUUUUAAAAUAAGUCGGACCUUUAUUGGACGCCCUGUAUAACUGUGAUAAGAGAUGUCAUCAAUCAUCAUGGGAUUCAUAGUUGCUCAGAAUACUUUAAUGAAUGUGGUACUUUCUUCCCUUGAUUUACCAUUGAGUUACGUUUCUGAUCUAUAUUUUCCUUCGACUCAAAAUCUCGUUGGCGACACCUGAACACCUUAGAGAAUUAAAAAAGUUUCGCUUCGAACUUAGUAUAUUAACACACUUCCCUCACACACAAAAAAAAGAUCAAAUUCCCGGAGAAAUAAAUUAUCCAUAACUUAAACUGCCGUAACUCAAGGGAACUGUACGACCACACACAAAAAAUUUUUAAAACGUCCUGCCGUUCUUUUCAAAGUUUUGUAAAUAUUAAAAAAAAAAACAAUGGUGUUGUUGAAGAGCCUUAGUGCCCUCAAUGUACGGGUUCCAAAACACUGUCUUUGUUUUUUGUACAAGAAUAAACAACAGCGUCACAUCUACCACCAACCCUUUCAUAACUACAGCUACAGUAUGAGAAAAUCUCCUAAAUCUACAGCAAUGUUAUAAUUUUUGUAGUAUUUUUUUCCAUUGUCACAUGUAGAUUGAGGUCAUUAUGUAGUGUGGGGUCAUUAUGUAGUGUGAGGUUAUUAUGUAGUGUGGGGUCAUUAUGUAGUGUGAGGUCAUUAUGUAGUGUGAGGUCAUUAUGUAGUGUGAGGUUAUUAUGUAGUGUGGGGUCAUUAUGUAGUGUGAGGUCAUUAUGUAGUGUGAGGUCAUUAUGUAGUGUGAGGUCAUUAUGUAGUGUGAGGUCAUUAUGUAGUGUGGGGUCAUUAUGUAGUGUGAGGUCAUUAUGUAGUGUGGGGUCAUUAUGUAGUGUGAGGUUAUUAUGUAGUGUGAGGUCAUUAUGUAGUGUGGGGUCAUUAUGUAGUGUGAGGUCAUUAUGUAGAUUUUGGAGAUAGUUUUGUACAACACACCUAUGUACAGUCAUAUACAUGUACACAUACUCCACCAUACGUACAGUCAUACUCAUGUACACACACUCCACCAUACAUAGUCAUUCUCGUGUACAGUUUUUUUGAGUGCCUGUACCUAAGUUUUUGAGUGACUGUACCUAAGUUUUGGUGACUGUACCUAAAGUUUUGAUUGACUGUACCUAAGUUUUUGAGUGACUGUACCUAAGUUUUUGAGUGACUGUACCUAAGUUUUUGAGUGCCUGUACCUAAGUUUUUGAGUGACUGUACCUAAGUUUUUGAGUGACUGUAUAAACUUCACUACACAUAAUGUCACUGUUUUAUACAUCAUGUCAUUCAUAGGACUGAUACUGUAUUGUCAUUUAUUAUUUGUAUAUAAUAAACAGUGUGGUAAUACUGUAUGGCUUAAUAAAAUAAUUUAUCUUA